GUGCCUCGUGUAUCUCGCUGCCUGUUCUUAGGCGUACGUCUCAUCACAUGCAACAGAAAAAAGUAUAACAAAACUUCUUCAACGCUGGUGGUUACCUUGUUGCAGCCAAAUGGUGAAAGGUGUGACAAAGACAGAUUGAGCCUUUGUAUGCAGUAUGCGGUUGCAGUGUAAUCCAGAAGUUGCUGUGCUGUUGCAGCUGAGCUGUUCCAUCUGGGUUCCUGACUUGAAAAUUUUUGUGUUGUCGUUUUUAUCCAUGCCAUGAAAUUGCUCUGUGUUAACUGUGUGCUGACUUAAAAGUUUGAUGUGUUGUCUUUCGA
Long non-coding RNA from Daphnia pulex (common water flea), 317 nucleotides. RefSeq lists it as uncharacterized. The transcript is spliced from 2 exons. The record is from RefSeq and is a predicted model, not a curated record. Lineage: Eukaryota; Metazoa; Arthropoda; Branchiopoda; Diplostraca; Daphniidae.